This 497-nucleotide long non-coding RNA is filed under the name Volvox carteri. RNAcentral's name for it is "long non-coding RNA (VCAR_LNC001921)". The record is from RNAcentral. Lineage: Eukaryota; Viridiplantae; Chlorophyta; Chlorophyceae; Chlamydomonadales; Volvocaceae.
GUUUGUAUGCAGCUGAACGAGGUGGCAACGAUGGGGGUUGCCAUCCGGAUUGAUGUCAAGGUUGAAGAGGGGACGAAUGGUUGCUCGCUGCACCAACAUAUCUACCGUCGUGCAGUAUAUGCGGUGCGUGCAUGCGGUCGGGGCGUGCAAACUCAGAUACCAUGACGGACAGCAGGGGCCGUGUUGCGCACCAGCACCAAGGGUUGAUUGGCUUGGGUACUGGCCACAUACAUGCACAGACCACACACUCUCGGGUGACGACUCGACGAGUAAGGGAGGGGGGCACCUGCUGGAUGGCAGCUGAGCCGCGACCGUCAGUUACUGCAUGACGAGCGGGUUUUUCUGCAUGCUCUAUCUCAGCACUUCCUCUGCAGGGCAGCGGGCAGGGUGUUGACACGCCGGAACCGGAUCCACUGCCCAGUGGAGCAUGAGUGCCUGCAUGCAGCGCUGCUGUCGGAGGCGGCCGGCCAACAGCCCAAACUUCGCCUGGAAGAACC